Thalassophryne amazonica is the source of this 96-nucleotide long non-coding RNA. RefSeq lists it as uncharacterized. Lineage: Eukaryota; Metazoa; Chordata; Actinopteri; Batrachoidiformes; Batrachoididae. The record is from RefSeq and is a predicted model, not a curated record. The transcript has 4 exons.
UAAUGAAAGACUGUCAGGAAGUUAUUUGUAAAGGGCAAAGGCACAAGCCUAAGCUGAACACUCAUGAUCUACGAUCCCUCAGAUGACACUGCAUCA